Molecule: long non-coding RNA, 3019 nt
Organism: Xenopus tropicalis (tropical clawed frog)
Lineage: Eukaryota; Metazoa; Chordata; Amphibia; Anura; Pipidae
Exons: 5
Source: RefSeq, a predicted model, not a curated record
CUGUGUCCAACCACCCCCCCUAAAUACCCAACCACAGAAAAAUGGCACCAAAAUAUAGUAGAUUGUAACCAUGGUAACCAAUAUAAACAAAAAAUGCUAGUACGUAAAAAAGCAAGUAGUGAUCAAAUCAGACAAGUACCAUAAUCUAACAAAUGAAUCAUGGGUAAAUGAAUAGUUGCAAAACAUGAUUGAAGUGGUGUAUACAAUGUAACUAUAGACAGGAGAUUAUGAGGCGGCUAUCUGACAGCGCCACCUAUCGCAAACUUGACAGGGAUCCCACUUGGGCUUUCAAACAAAUUAUUGAUACCUCGUUACAGUGUGGCCUGAACAGUGACUACAUUAAUACAGAUACUUUGAAUUUUUUUUAUACCUUGCCGAAAAUUCCCAAGAGUCUGACUUACACCACCAGGACGACCCAUCGCGAGUGCAAGAGACUCACUACUCCAACCACUCUAUGUAUGUGGAUCAUGUCUUACAGUCCCUUGUUAAGGACCUUUGCACAUAUAUCCAGGACACUGGUGACCUACUACGUAAACUACAGGGGCUUUAUCCUCUACCUACAGGGACCGAACUUGCAACAAUGGAUGUUUCUUUCCUUUACACGAUGAUACCAAUCGAGGGGGGUUUAGUGAACAUCAAAAUCUUCUUAACCACCCAGACAAGGACAGACCACCCACGAAAUUUCUUCUGUCUCUCCUUGAUCACCGCUUCACAAUUAGAAUUUUCACACUAUUAGCAGAUCAAAGGGACCAACAUACUUUUGUGGACUGGCACACAAGCAAUUUAAUACCAUGAUUAACUGAACCAGCUGCCUUCUUCAAUGCUUCAUGGCACACAUUGAUGAUCUCUCCACCUCUUUCCUCGACUUAACACUAAAGUGAACAACUCAACACUCCAGGAAAGAAAUGGAUUGCAACGGGGUCAGAUUAUGGCACCAAAGAAGCUAAUUAUGUCGAGUGAACAUCACCCAGAAUCACAAAGAACAAAGAUGCAAUCCCAAGGGCACGUUGACCCCACAUGUUUUGGCAAUGAGCCUGUCCGAGACACACAGACUGUACGUCGCUAAAGCCCGAGAACAGAAAAUCGAGUCGGGACAACUACGUGGUGUAGAGGUGGGAAUUGCAUGCCAAUGAAGACAGAAGAAGAAUCCUACUGUUGCAUGGAGCUAUCAAAUGUCAACAAGAAAUAUCUACUAGAUGGUUGCAUCUGCCAUAGCAGAAAAUUUAGGAGACAAUGGGGCCGAUUCACUAAAGUGCGAUAAAACGCACGCUAUUUAUAAAAAAUUUUGCAUCUAAAAUUUGCUGACAACGCACGAUUCACUAUAAGCACCCUUGCGUUAUAUUACGCGCGAUACAGCAUGCGAUAUUUUAGUUGCGAAAAUUCUACGUGCACUAAAUAACGCGCGCGAAACGCGUGCGCUACUUUUCGCACGUGCGCCAAUAAAAGCACAGCGGUAACGCAUGCGUGCUAAUUAGCGCACGCAAUUGCCAUGCGACUUGACGCACGCACCAGCAUAAAACUGGCGCCAUUUUGCACAUUUGCCCUGGGAGAGCACAGAAGUGCUAGAGAUUGUUUUUUGGGUGAUAUUAAUAUUGAUUUUGAUAUUGAUAUAGUUAUGGCAAGCAAAAAACAGGUUGCUAAGAGGACGGAGCACAUUGAAACACCUGUGGUGUCAGCCAGCUCUGGCACUGAUGCAGAAGAGGUGCCCCUUUAUCAAGGCAGCCCUGAUGUAUCUGAGGGUACAGAGUACCAGCCCCAGGAGGCGAGUGGAGAGAGCGAGGAGGUUCCCCCCACCUCAUCAUCUGGGAAGAGGAAGGAGACAGCAGGAGGGGAGGCUUCGCCAGUUCAAAUUCUCAGGAGAAAUUGAUAGGGGCAACAAUGAGUAACAAAAAGUGACUGCGUUAAGGCUUGCUUAUUGGAGACAACACAAUAAAACCAUUUGUAUAUUUUCUUUAGAUCAGGAACUGGAGGUGGCCCUUCUAAGCGGGUCCAUUACACCCAGUAUGAGGAGCUGCUGCUGCCUUUCCUACACCGGGAGAGUGCGAGGUGUCUCUGGCACCUUUGAUACAGACCAGAAUGUUGGCCAAGAUUCAUCCCCACCUGGGCCAAGCAGGCGCAGACAAACGGCAUCUGCUCCCAUUCCAGGUGGACACUCCUUGUGUGGGCUCUACUCCCCACAGCACCAUCCUGCAAUUGAAGGAGAAACAUUUAGUGGGGAGGAAAGUGAGAGAGGGUCCCACGUCGGUGGCAGCGACGUGGCCUUCUCCUCAGAUGAGAAGCUGGCCAACAUUCCCCAGCAGCAGCUCCAACCCAGCCCACCGGAGAGAAUGUGGCCCCCAGGGAACAGGAUAAAAAUAGGUUCCACAAAUCCCUAAUCUGGUACCACAAAGCGCUAAUGAGAAAAAUGGACCAACUGCAUGUUGACUUGUGUGUGGCCACUAACGUCUACAAUGCAGGUCAGGCACGGCAAGCCGCACACGAGUCUGUAAUGCUAAACCUCUAUCAAGACAGCGAGGCACGAAGGGCACAACAUGAGGCUAAGAUGGUGAGCCUCCAGCAGGCCAGACAUCAAAGUCAAUCCCAACAUGAGGCUGCCAUGUUGAGCCUGCAGGAGGAGCAGGUAGAGCUUAAAAAAGUUAAAAACUGGCUCUGUUGGCUGAACAAAAUGCUGCACCAAAGCCAACAGAGCCCACAAGCUCUACCAGCGCAGCUCCCCCUCCUGCAGGUUCAACAAGGCAGCUUCAUAAGAGAAAAUAAAUUGGGCACGGUGCAAUUAGAGAUUUGUGGAACCUUUUCUUUGGCCUAUUUUUUUUUUCUUUCUUGCCAGGUGUUAAACCUGUUAAAAAAAAUAUUUGGGAAGUGUUCCCUGAAAAUAAAUAUUUUUUUUUUGGGGGGGGGGGGGGGGGGGGGAAGUUGUUUCUUGUGUAUGGGAUUAAAGAUUGUAGGUACUUACAGGCAAAAUAACCCGUUAUAAUUACAGAUGCAUGUACAGGUAACUCUUCAGAGAGGGGAUAUCUGA